RNAcentral lists this ribosomal RNA (489 nucleotides) under Triticum aestivum (bread wheat). Its description in RNAcentral is "partial small subunit ribosomal RNA". Lineage: Eukaryota; Viridiplantae; Streptophyta; Magnoliopsida; Poales; Poaceae. The record is from RNAcentral.
AUGCGCGAAAUACCGAGAUCGUUCUCGGCGGAGAAGAAGGAUCUAGUUAAGACCAUGACCAUGUUUACUUCUGAGCCGUACGUGCACCGCAUCGCCAAGCUGAAACGGAUCUCUGAGCGUAUCACCACGCUCCCGCGGUUGGACCCAGGUCUUGACUCCAAAGUGAAAUCAACGCUCGUCGAGUUGAAAUCGGAAUCCUUCUUAUCCGCCAUGGAGGGGGAGAGGGAAGGUGUCGCGGGAGGAGACGGAGCGAAAUCUUCCGCGGAGAUGGACAAGUCAUUCGCUGCUUACCGUCUCUUCUGGGAACGGACAUGGGGCACUGACUACAGGAUGGGUUUCUUCUCAUUAUUGAGCCCCAUGCAAUAUACACAUUGCACGCCAGGCCGCAUCCCUGUUGACGCUGUUGCAGGGAGCACCUUGCAGAUUAACUCCAUCAAAGUCUAUGCAGAGAAGAACUUGGGCAUUCACUGGAGGUGUAUGGAGUGGUAG